AGAACGAACGCUGGCGGCAUGCCUAAUACAUGCAAGUCGAACGAACUCUUCGGAGUUAGCGGCGCACGGGUGCGUAACGCGUGGGAAUCUGCCCCUUGGUUCGGAAUAACAGUUGGAAACGACUGCUAAUACCGGAUGAUGACGAAAGUCCAAAGAUUUAUCGCCAAGGGAUGAGCCCGCGUAGGAUUAGCUAGUUGGUGAGGUAAAGGCUCACCAAGGCAACGAUCCUUAGCUGGUCUGAGAGGAUGAUCAGCCACACUGGGACUGAGACACGGCCCAGACUCCUACGGGAGGCAGCAGUAGGGAAUAUUGGACAAUGGGCGAAAGCCUGAUCCAGCAAUGCCGCGUGAGUGAUGAAGGCCUUAGGGUGUAAAGCUCUUUUACCCGAGAUGAUAAUGACAGUAUCGGAGAAUAAGCCCGGCUAACUCCGUGCCAGCAGCCGC
Molecule: ribosomal RNA, 443 nt
Filed under: uncultured soil bacterium
Lineage: Bacteria
Description: bacterial SSU rRNA
Rfam family: Bacterial small subunit ribosomal RNA
Source: RNAcentral